Long non-coding RNA from Camponotus floridanus (Florida carpenter ant), 373 nucleotides. RefSeq lists it as uncharacterized. The record is from RefSeq and is a predicted model, not a curated record. NCBI's taxonomy places the organism in Eukaryota, Metazoa, Arthropoda, Insecta, Hymenoptera, Formicidae. The transcript has 3 exons.
UCUCUAAAAAAGCGAGUCAUGGUAUCUCAUCUCUCAUUCUUCUUUUUGAUUCUUUUGCAUUCGGCUCCUCUUUGAUUGCGCAGGAUUGCGUUUAAUAAAGUGUCGUCAUGUGAGACUCGUUUACGACGUGUGAAGUGAACAUCGAAGUAUCGAAUAUAAUUUCGAAGGACAGUGCAACAAUAAGUGCGUGAUGGGAUUUUCAGUGUAAUUAUGAUGUAAUUUGCGUCGUGAUAAGCCGGACAGCAGCACAUCAUCCUCACUGAAAGGUACAAGAAAGGAUCAAAUGAUCGAAGCAUCAUAUAUUAUCUCGCUGUCUGAUGCAUCGUGGGCGCAGACAUUGGAUCAUUUUAAUACAGUUAAGUGAUAGUUUAAG